Molecule: small RNA, 280 nt
Filed under: Madurella mycetomatis
Lineage: Eukaryota; Fungi; Ascomycota; Sordariomycetes; Sordariales
Description: A. fumigatus sRNA Afu_309
Rfam family: A. fumigatus sRNA Afu_309
Source: Rfam by way of RNAcentral
CUCCUUUCCUCCUUCACGGAUCUGUGCCCAGCGAUCCUCUGCCGCCCCCGGUGGUCAGGGUCGAUUGCUGCGGCAGUUCGGUGAACCAAGGAGCCAUCUACUCUCCGUGAUGUCAAUUUCCACCCGACAGGUCCAAGAUCGACCGAACUCUGGGGAGCCUCGUUCGCUGUAAAAGGCUUGAGCGUGGUGAGCCGGAUGAUUUAGGAGACGCCAUAUUCCAAGCCGUUCGCCGAGACCGUCGGUCUAUGGGGCUGGGGGAAACCAUGGCUUGCCUACAUUU